This 710-nucleotide long non-coding RNA is filed under the name Homo sapiens (human). RNAcentral's name for it is "HSALNT0383356". Lineage: Eukaryota; Metazoa; Chordata; Mammalia; Primates; Hominidae. The record is from RNAcentral.
AGCAACAUGCUCUGGUAACCUUCCAUGGUGUGGAAGCUUUGUUCUUUUGCUCUUCACAGUAAGUCUUGCUGCUGCUCACUCUUUGGGUCCUCACUACCUCUAUGACCUGUAACACUCACUGCAAAGUUCUGCUGCUUCACUCCUGAAGUCAGUGAGACCACGAACCCACCAGAAGGAAGAAACUCUGAACACAUCUGAGCAUCUGAAGGAACAAACUCCGGACACACCAUCUUUAAGAACUGUAACACUCACCGUGUGGCUAUUUUCAUUCUUGAAGUCAGCGAGACCAAGAACCUACAGGAAGGAAUAAAUUCCGGACACAGUAAGUUCAGUUUCAAGAACGCAUCAUGCCAUUAGAGCUUAGAUCACAGGAGUGAUGAAUGUCCACCAUAGGCUUCUACUCAGGUAAUGCAGUAGUGGGAACUUCAGGCUACUCUCCAAACUUGAUUCCAGGCCUGUCAGAAUUAGAGGACUCUCCUGUAGCAAGGAUUGCUGGCAUUUGAGGUAAUAAUGAGGACUGCAGGAGAUCUCUAGCUUACUUUCCUCCAUAGGAAAAAGUUUACCCUGAUUUUGAGCCAAUCCAAGCAGAGGAGAUAGUGUAGCAGAGACAAAACGACUUUCUUGCUUCUCCCUUGUGCUAUCAUGGAUGUCUAGGUUCCACAGGGAUUUUGCUGCUUUCCUUGUGCUCUGUAGCAUACUGCCUCAGUAAC